UACGGGGGGGUGCGAGCGUUGUCCGGAAUCACUGGGCGUAAAGGGCGCGUAGGUGGCCUGAUAAGGGUGUGGUGAAAGUCCGGGGCUCAACCCCGGAUCGGCCGUGCCGACUGUUGGGCUAGAGUACUGUAGGGGCAGGCGGAAUUCCGGGUGUAGCGGUGGAAUGCGUAGAGAUCCGGAAGAACACCAGUGGCGAAGGCGGUCUGCUGGGCAGUGGGCUCGAAAGGGCCCUUUAACCGACACUGAGGCGCGACAGCGUGGGGAGCAAACAGG
Molecule: ribosomal RNA, 273 nt
Filed under: uncultured bacterium
Lineage: Bacteria
Description: partial 16S ribosomal RNA
Rfam family: Bacterial small subunit ribosomal RNA
Source: RNAcentral